RNAcentral lists this ribosomal RNA (491 nucleotides) under uncultured bacterium. RNAcentral describes it as "partial 16S ribosomal RNA". It matches the Rfam family "Bacterial small subunit ribosomal RNA", at positions 29 to 506 of the family's 1533-position model. The record is from RNAcentral.
AGUGAACGCUGGCGGUAGGCCUAACACAUGCAAGUCGAACGGCAGCACAGUAAGAGCUUGCUCUUACGGGUGGCGAGUGGCGGACGGGUGAGGAAUACAUCGGAAUCUACUUUUUCGUGGGGGAUAACGUAGGGAAACUUACGCUAAUACCGCAUACGACCUACGGGUGAAAGCAGGGGAUCUUCGGACCUUGCGCGAUUGAAUGAGCCGAUGUCGGAUUAGCUAGUUGGCGGGGUAAAGGCCCACCAAGGCGACGAUCCGUAGCUGGUCUGAGAGGAUGACCGCCCACAUGGGACAUGAGAAACGUCCAAGACCCCUAGGGAGGGAAGAGGUGGGAAAUUUUGGCAAAUGGGGGCAAGCCUGACCCAGCCAACCCGGGGGGGUAAAGAAGGCCUUCGGGUGUUAAAGCCCUUUUGUUGGGAAAAAAAAGCGGCAGGUUAAAACCCCGCUUUUCGGGCGGUACCCAAAGAAAAAGCACCGGCUAACUUCGG